CUGGGCUCGAAAUGUAGAGGACGACAACAGAGAUGUUGUUUCCCGAAAGGGUCUCUAUAUAGGUGCUGCAUGGCUGUCGUCAGCUCGUGCCGUGAGGUGUUUGGUUAAGUCCAGCAACGAGCGCAACCCUUAUCAUUAGUUGCCAACGCGUGAAGGCGGGAACUCUAAUGAGACUGCCUAGGUUAACUAGGAGGAAGGUGAGGAUGACGUCAAGUCCGCAUGGCCUUUAUGUCUGGGGCUACACACGUGCUACAAUGGUCGGUACAGAAGGCAGCGAAGUCGUAAGAUGGAGCAAAUCCGAGAAGCCGGCCUCAGUUCAGAUUGUAGUCUGCAACUCGGCUACAUGAAGUUGGAAUUGCUAGUAAUGACGUGUCAGCAACAACGUCGUGAAUACGUUCCC
This 400-nucleotide ribosomal RNA is filed under the name uncultured bacterium. Its description in RNAcentral is "bacterial SSU rRNA". It matches the Rfam family "Bacterial small subunit ribosomal RNA", at positions 975 to 1375 of the family's 1533-position model. The record is from RNAcentral.